RNAcentral lists this ribosomal RNA (587 nucleotides) under uncultured bacterium. Its description in RNAcentral is "bacterial SSU rRNA". It matches the Rfam family "Bacterial small subunit ribosomal RNA", at positions 338 to 916 of the family's 1533-position model. The record is from RNAcentral.
CCUACGGGAGGCAGCAGUAGGGAAUCUUCGGCAAUGGACGAAAGUCUGACCGAGCAACGCCGCGUGAGUGAAGAAGGUUUUCGGAUCGUAAAACUCUGUUGUUAGAGAAGAACGUUGUGUAGAGUGGAAAAUUGCACAAGUGACGGUAUCUAACCAGAAAGGGACGGCUAACUACGUGCCAGCAGCCGCGGUAAUACGUAGGUCCCGAGCGUUGUCCGGAUUUAUUGGGCGUAAAGCGAGCGCAGGUGGUUUAAUAAGUCUGAUGUAAAAGGCAGUGGCUCAACCAUUGUGUGCAUUGGAAACUGUUAGACUUGAGUGCAGUAGAGGAGAGUGGAAUUCCAUGUGUAGCGGUGAAAUGCGUAGAUAUAUGGAGGAACACCGGUGGCGAAAGCGGCUCUCUGGACUGUAACUAACACUGAGGCUCGAAAGCGUGGGUAGCAAACAGAAUUAGAUACCCUGGUAGUCCACGCCGUAAACGAUGAGUGCUAGUUGUUUGGGGCUAUCCAGCCCUAAGUGACGCAGCAAACGCAUUAAGCACUCCGCCUGGGGAGUACGACCGCAAGGUUGAAACUCAAAGGAAUUGACGG